This 400-nucleotide long non-coding RNA is filed under the name Sinocyclocheilus anshuiensis. RNAcentral's name for it is "lncRNA (ENSSANG00000024614.1)". Lineage: Eukaryota; Metazoa; Chordata; Actinopteri; Cypriniformes; Cyprinidae. The record is from RNAcentral.
UGUGAUGUCAUAGCGACGUGUGCACUGUGCACAAACGUUACGUCAGGCGACGGAGACGUCACAGGAAUGGUGGACUGCUGUAGCGCGCGGAGCGGCAUGACAACUGUGAGAAACUUACGAGCCGAAAAGACCGCUUUACGACACCAUUGAACCCUUACACUGAUGGACAACAAAAGACGUCAUGAUUAGAGAUAUUGAUUCAAGAGAAAGGGUUCAAGAUGACACAUGCUCUAAGGUGUGAAGGGACACACAAUGAGGAAGAUGAGGAUGAUGAGGAGGUUAGCCCUAUUAGAUCCAGUUUCUCCGUGGAGGACCUGCUCGAUGAGGUGGAGAAGAUCAGCAGUGUCGCCAGUAGCGGCAAAAAGGUCAGACAGUUUAUACCGAGACAUCUUGUGUGCAA